Molecule: ribosomal RNA, 786 nt
Filed under: Bacillus cereus
Lineage: Bacteria; Bacillati; Bacillota; Bacilli; Caryophanales; Bacillaceae
Description: bacterial SSU rRNA
Rfam family: Bacterial small subunit ribosomal RNA
Source: RNAcentral
GGGGGGGGGGGGGGCUAUACAUGCAGUCGAGCGAAUGGAUUAAGAGCUUGCUCUUAUGAAGUUAGCGGCGGACGGGUGAGUAACACGUGGGUAACCUGCCCAUAAGACUGGGAUAACUCCGGGAAACCGGGGCUAAUACCGGAUAACAUUUUGAACCGCAUGGUUCGAAAUUGAAAGGCGGCUUCGGCUGUCACUUAUGGAUGGACCCGCGUCGCAUUAGCUAGUUGGUGAGGUAACGGCUCACCAAGGCAACGAUGCGUAGCCGACCUGAGAGGGUGAUCGGCCACACUGGGACUGAGACACGGCCCAGACUCCUACGGGAGGCAGCAGUAGGGAAUCUUCCGCAAUGGACGAAAGUCUGACGGAGCAACGCCGCGUGAGUGAUGAAGGCUUUCGGGUCGUAAAACUCUGUUGUUAGGGAAGAACAAGUGCUAGUUGAAUAAGCUGGCACCUUGACGGUACCUAACCAGAAAGCCACGGCUAACUACGUGCCAGCAGCCGCGGUAAUACGUAGGUGGCAAGCGUUAUCCGGAAUUAUUGGGCGUAAAGCGCGCGCAGGUGGUUUCUUAAGUCUGAUGUGAAAGCCCACGGCUCAACCGUGGAGGGUCAUUGGAAACUGGGAGACUUGAGUGCAGAAGAGGAAAGUGGAAUUCCAUGUGUAGCGGUGAAAUGCGUAGAGAUAUGGAGGAACACCAGUGGCGAAGGCGACUUUCUGGUCUGUAACUGACACUGAGGCGCGAAAGCGUGGGGAGCAAACAGGAUUAAUCCCGGGGGUACUCUCAAAAA